Molecule: ribosomal RNA, 498 nt
Filed under: bacterium
Lineage: Bacteria
Description: bacterial SSU rRNA
Rfam family: Bacterial small subunit ribosomal RNA
Source: RNAcentral
AUUUUGGAGAGUUUGAUCCUGGCUCAGGAUGAACGUUGGCGGUGUGCCUAAGGUAUGCAAGUCGAACGAUAAGCUCACGCUUGCGUGAGUGGACAGUGGCAAACGGCUGAGUAACGCGUAGGAACUUACCCUUAAGUCAAGGAUAGCCAACCGAAAGGUUGAUUAAUCCUGGAUGUGCUCUUCGGAGUAAAGGCUUCGGUCGCUUAAGGAUAGGCCUGCGUCCUAUCAGGUUGUUGGUGAGGUAACGGCUCCCCAAGCCUAUGACGGGUAACUGGUCUGAGAGGAUGAUCAGUCAGAAUGGGACUGCGACACGGCCCAUACUCCUACGGGAGGCAGCAAUUAGGAAUCUUGCGCAAUGGACGAAAGUCUGACGCAGCGACACCGCGUGGAGGAUGACGGUUUUCGGAUCGUAAACUUCUUUUAUCGGGGAACAAGUUCUGAGUGUACCCGAUGAAUAAGGACCCCCUAACUACGUGCCAGAAGGGUCGGUGAUGCGUA